AUAAAGAGCUCCAGCAACGAUUUCUUCGGUUUUUGGCAAUCAAAUGUGGGAAGGACCUAAAGACAACCGUGUGGCGAAUGCUUCAGAGUAUCUUCUCUAAUCACCUUUCCAUCAAUACAACCUGGACUGGUGUAGGGGAUAAAGCAUGUUUUAGAGACAUGUUCCUGAAGACCAUUGUUCAAAGAGCCAUCCGGAAGAACCCGGCAACCCAGGAUGCCACUGAUGAGGCGAUCCAGGUUAACGUUAUGCGUUACCUGAAAGGAGCAUCUGAACAUGAAGGUGGAAAAAGGAGC
This is a long non-coding RNA of Xyrauchen texanus (razorback sucker), 293 nucleotides long. RefSeq lists it as uncharacterized. Lineage: Eukaryota; Metazoa; Chordata; Actinopteri; Cypriniformes; Catostomidae. The record is from RefSeq and is a predicted model, not a curated record. The transcript is spliced from 3 exons.